GCACUGGAACUAGGAAACAUAACAAAACUGAGCCAAAACGUAAGCUCCAUGUAAAAACAAGACCUGACACAUUAACAAGUUAAACACAAGGGCUUAUAUACCGCAUAUAUAUACCACCUCCCCUCUCCCGUCAUGCCAAAGGACACCAAAAUAAGUUUUGAAAAACUGUUUCGGCCUGGAUUACACUGUAAAAACUCCAACUUGCAAAUUGUUCACUCAGUUUAAAAAUGUAAGUCAAGUGGACACAUUUUUAAGCAAAAUGUUGAGUUUACACAUAAAAACAAGUUAACUCAAUGUUUACUAUAUUUUUUUCAAUGAACACAAAUAAGAAAGUUGAGCAAACUCAGUAUUUUUAUUUCUUCAUUUGAGCGGUCAACUUGACAUUAUUGCCUAUGCGCAAAGUGCCGUCGCUGAACUAUACACGGAGUUUACUGCUUCAAAUAUAAACAACCAUGGCAAAGGGAGUGGAUGUCUUCUUUUAAGGACACAAAGCCAGAGGAUGUCCACACCAAGGGUAUGAAGAUGAGCAUCUUAACUAUUACUGGAAGAUGAUGUUGUCAUCCAUUCAACCCUAAAGUGUAUGAGUUGAAAGUGGGCCUGGGUUCUGGGGCAAUGGAGGAACAGGACACCACAGAGGUGCCAGGGGAGCAGGAAACCACCACAGAGAAGGAGAUCACCAGAGGAGAGAAGGAGACCACAGGGAUGCUGGCAGAUCAGAGUACCACAGCAGGGAAAAAAAAAAAAACAGCCAGACUACAGAACAUUUUGGUGUAGGCCUUAGUGGUGCUCAUACCUCGCCGAAAGCCUAUGAGUUCAUCUGCUGCAUUCAUUGUUGGUCAGGACUUGUUCAGUAAACUUCAGUGAAUUAAGAAACAUGAAGAAUGCAGGAUCCAAUCUCAGAUUUAAUGUUGUAAAAACAGCAGAAGCACACAAAACACCGGAACAAUGAAAUACAAAUACAACAGAACAGGACAAACCAAAACAAGACAAAAUGAAAAUAAAUGAAACAAAGCAAAACAACAAAACAAACCUCUGAAACAAACAACAAGAUCUGACACAUGAACAAGUGAAACACAUGGAACAAAAAACUAAACAUUAAAAGUCCAUAACACAAGCACAAAUAACAGGACAAUAAAUGUAUAAUUUACAUUAAAUUUUCUGACAUGCUGCUUAGAUGACACACUGACAACAACACCAUAUUCAACCAAAAAUGAAAAAUCUGUAAUUACAUUCACUCCUUCAUACUAUCUAUCUAUCUAAUAAUAAUAAUAAUAAUAAUAAUAAUAAUAAUAAUAAUUACAAUAACUCAAUGUUCAUACCAAGCUCCAAAAAGACAAAACACAACACAAUACUUGGUGGAGCUUGACAUAUUUUUUCACAUAUGUUGUACGUGAACUUUCAUUGUAUAGAAAAGAGAUGAUUUUUUUUUUUUUUUUUUUUUUUUCUGAAAUCGUUGUAUCUGUGUGUGUCAUAUUCAGUUGAAUAAAAAGUGAUGUCAAGGGUUUAUAU
Molecule: long non-coding RNA, 1509 nt
Organism: Labeo rohita (rohu)
Lineage: Eukaryota; Metazoa; Chordata; Actinopteri; Cypriniformes; Cyprinidae
Exons: 3
Source: RefSeq, a predicted model, not a curated record